RNAcentral lists this long non-coding RNA (597 nucleotides) under Agrilus planipennis (emerald ash borer). Its description in RNAcentral is "uncharacterized LOC112906633, transcript variant X2". Lineage: Eukaryota; Metazoa; Arthropoda; Insecta; Coleoptera; Buprestidae. The record is from RNAcentral.
UCGAUGCGUGUUUUUAUUGUAUUUAAAGUUUUAUUUAUUUAAUAGUAUUGUGAAUUAGUUUCGCUUCUUAAUUUUUUACAGAUCGAUGAUAAACGAGAGGCGGAGAGGACAUGGAAGUUCGUUUUGAUGCUAGCGUAAAAGAAGUUGUUCGAUGUGAUGUUCUUUCUAUAAAUAAUUUUGCAGAUAAUUGAGGAACAUUAUAAAAAUUCUGGAUGCCAUUAAGUUACAGACCGUUGGUUACAUCAGUCCUCCUUCGUUUCAGGGAGUAGCUGUACCUAUAGCCCAAGGGAAUGCACGAAAGUGAUUUUUUUUCCAUUGAGAAUGAAGACAGUAUGUUUUUGCUGAAGGAAGGAUUCAUGACAAUGAAUUGACUGCCCAACAUAUGAGAAGGGGGAGACUGCUGGAAAUUAAUUUGGAAACCGCUGAAACAAUAGAUUGCAGUGGCAUCUCUCCUGGCUUUGGCUUGCUCGUUACACAUUUAGACUUUAGAAUAUUAGUUUCUGCAAUUAAUUAAGUGUAAAUUGUCGUUAUCGUGAAUGUAUGGUAUUCUAACGAUUAUCUAUUGUCUGCAGUAUAAAUUGACGUUACGGCUACAGU